GAUGAACGCUGGCGGCGUGCCUAAUACAUGCAAGUCGAACGAAACUUCUUUAUCACCGAGUGCUUGCACUCACCGAUAAAGAGUUGAGUGGCGAACGGGUGAGUAACACGUGGGCAACCUGCCCAAAAGAGGGGGAUAACACUUGGAAACAGGUGCUAAUACCGCAUAACCAUAGUUACCGCAUGGUAACUAUGUAAAAGGUGGCUAUACUACCGCUUUUGGAUGGGCCCGCGGCGCAUUAGCUAGUUGGUAGGGUAAAGGCUUACCAAGGCAAUGAUGCGUCGCCCAAUUGCGAGGUUGCUCGGCCACAUUGGCACUUACACACGGCCCAAACUCCUACGGGAGGCCGCAGUCGGGAAUCUACCGCAAUAGGCCAAAGCCUGAUGGAGCAACGCGGCGUGGGUGAAGAAGGUCUUCUGAUCGUAAAACCCUGUUGUUAGCGAAGAAAGUGCGUUAGAGUAACUGUUCACGUUUCGACGGUAUCUAAACAGAAAGCCACGGCUAACUACGUG
This 512-nucleotide ribosomal RNA is filed under the name uncultured bacterium. RNAcentral describes it as "partial 16S ribosomal RNA". It matches the Rfam family "Bacterial small subunit ribosomal RNA", at positions 28 to 507 of the family's 1533-position model. The record is from RNAcentral.